This 492-nucleotide ribosomal RNA is filed under the name uncultured bacterium. RNAcentral's name for it is "partial 16S ribosomal RNA". It matches the Rfam family "Bacterial small subunit ribosomal RNA", at positions 29 to 507 of the family's 1533-position model. The record is from RNAcentral.
AGUGAACGCUGGCGGUAGGCCUAACACAUGCAAGUCGAACGGCAGCACAGUAAGAUCUUGCUCUUACGGGUGGCGAGUGGCGGACGGGUGAGGAAUACAUCGGAAUCUACUUUUUCGUGGGGGAUAACGUAGGGAAACUUACGCUAAUACCGCAUACGACCUACGGGUGAAAGCAGGAGUUCUUCGGACUUUUCGCGAUUGAAUUAGCCGAUGUCGGAUUAGCUAGUUGGCGGGGUAAAGGCCCACCAAGGCGACGAUCCGUAGCUGGUCUGAGAGGAUGAUCAGCCACACUGGAACUGAGACACGGUCCAGACUCCUACGGGAGGCAGCAGUGGGGAAUAUUGGACAAUGGGCGCAAGCCUGAUCCAGCAAUACCGCGUGAGUGAAGAAGGCCUUCGGGUUGUAAAGCCCUGUUGUUGGGAAAGAAAAGCAGCAGGUUAAUACCCCGCUGUUCUGACGGUACCCAAAGAAUAAGCACCGGCUAACUUCGUG